CUUGACACAGUUUCCAGUUCUCCACCCGCUCCAGUUCCACAGUAAGAUGGAUCCAGACAUCUGUGUCAUACAACUCCCUCCUGGGGACCACCCCACUAUGGGACAGCUAGAUGCAGCCUGUUUGACUGCCUCCUGACCCCAACACCCAGCAUGACUAUGACUGUGCAGAUUUUCAAUGACUGCCUCUCAGUCACUGUGUGACCUCCUGGGACCCGUGCCUGCUUGCUCCAAACCCACUACUUAAAACCCUCUGCUGGAAACCUGUUUGGAUGAUAGUCAAGGCGUGGCCCCAUGUCCCUUCCUCGCUCCAGGCGCUCCCUGACCUCCAUGCAUGUGGCCUCUGGGAAUGCUGUGUACUCUCAGGACGUCACAGACUCGAGAAAUGUAGGGAACUCGAGAGCAGCCACUCGGCCCCAGGAUCAACCCAGCACCGAAGAAAAACAACCAGAAGAAAUUAUUCUUCAGCCUGAAAUGAAGCCGGGAUCAAAUGGUUGCUGAUCAGAGCCCAUAUUUAAAUUGGAAAAGUCAAAUUGAGCAUUAUUAAAUAAAGCUUGUUUAAUAUGUCUCAAACAGAA
This 575-nucleotide long non-coding RNA is filed under the name Homo sapiens (human). RNAcentral's name for it is "HSALNT0387550". The record is from RNAcentral. Lineage: Eukaryota; Metazoa; Chordata; Mammalia; Primates; Hominidae.